This 347-nucleotide ribosomal RNA is filed under the name uncultured Clostridiaceae bacterium. RNAcentral's name for it is "bacterial SSU rRNA". It matches the Rfam family "Bacterial small subunit ribosomal RNA", at positions 8 to 339 of the family's 1533-position model. The record is from RNAcentral. Lineage: Bacteria; Bacillati; Bacillota; Clostridia; Eubacteriales; Clostridiaceae.
AUAGUUUGAUCCUGCUCAGGAUGAACGCUGGCGGCGUGCCUAAUACAUGCAAGUCGAGCGAGAAUCUGAUGAUUGGAGAUUCGUCAAAGAGAAUCAGAGGAAAGCGGCGGACGGGUGAGUAACGCGUAGGCAACCUGCCCUUAGCAGAGGGAUAGCCAUUGGAAACGAUGAUUAAAACCUCAUAAUGCUGCAAGAGCACAUGCUCAUGCAGCCAAAGAUUUAUCGGCUAAGGAUGGGCCUGCGUCUGAUUAACUAGUUGGUGGGGUAACGGCUCACCAAGGUGACGAUCAGUAGCCGACCUGAGAGGGUGAUCGGCCACAUUGGAACUGAGACACGGUCCAAACUUC